UUUGGAUGAACUCUUUAGAUGACGAGUCUGAACCUGUUGGCGUGCGGUUUCCUCACGACAGCAUCCAUGACGAGUCCUUCAAUUUUUACCAUUCAUGCAUAUCUGAUU
Small nucleolar RNA from Rhizopogon vesiculosus, 108 nucleotides. The record is from Rfam. Lineage: Eukaryota; Fungi; Basidiomycota; Agaricomycetes; Boletales; Rhizopogonaceae.